This 253-nucleotide ribosomal RNA is filed under the name uncultured bacterium. RNAcentral's name for it is "partial 16S ribosomal RNA". It matches the Rfam family "Bacterial small subunit ribosomal RNA", at positions 524 to 776 of the family's 1533-position model. The record is from RNAcentral.
UACGUAGGUGGCGAGCGUUAUCCGGAAUUACUGGGCGUAAAGCGCGCGCAGGCGGUCGGUCAAGUCCGGCGUGAAAGCUCCCGGCUUAACUGGGAGAGGUCGUUGGAAACUGAUCGGCUUGAGGCAAUGAGAGGGGUACGGAAUUCCAGGUGUAGUGGUGGAAUGCGUAGAUAUCUGGAGGAACACCAGUGGCGAAAGCGGUACCCUGGCAUUGUCCUGACGCUCAUGUGCGAAAGCGUGGGGAGCGAACGGG